This is a long non-coding RNA of Poecilia latipinna (sailfin molly), 514 nucleotides long. RefSeq lists it as uncharacterized. The record is from RefSeq and is a predicted model, not a curated record. Lineage: Eukaryota; Metazoa; Chordata; Actinopteri; Cyprinodontiformes; Poeciliidae. The transcript is spliced from 3 exons.
GUGCCACUAUUUUCUCAGGACUGUGAAGUAUUGUGGACCAUUACAGUCUGGAGAGUAUAAACUACACCUGGAGGCUGGAGGAAAAACGCAAACAAACACAACAAUUGUUUGUGUUCUAGAGAAACAAGAGCCAUCAUUUAGGAUAACAGAUAAUUACCUUUUUGUUGAGACUGUGAGUGUCUUGCCUGCUAACUCUACAUGGAUGAUGUCAAGUUUAUCAUCCGGCAACAGCUCUGAAACAAACCCAUCCUGGGAAGUGAUUGAGAGUAAUAACCACCCAGCUUCUGAUGACUUCUGUAACCAGAAACUCACCGGCAACGUGAGCACAAUAAAUGUACCGGUUGCAGCAAAAUUUAAGUUUUGCUUGACGGACCAAGCUGGGUCCAGGUGCAGUGAGGAACGUUAUGUGCUUCCAAACCCCAAAUUCCAAGCUUCCACAGGUAAGACAAGAUCAUUCACCCUCGACAUUCAUUCAGCAAUGUUGAUAUAGCUGACUUCUGCCAUGCUUACAUAU